This 492-nucleotide ribosomal RNA is filed under the name uncultured bacterium. RNAcentral describes it as "partial 16S ribosomal RNA". It matches the Rfam family "Bacterial small subunit ribosomal RNA", at positions 29 to 507 of the family's 1533-position model. The record is from RNAcentral.
AGUGAACGCUGGCGGUAGGCCUAACACAUGCCAGUCGAACGGCAGCACAGUAAGAGCUUGCUCUUACGGGUGGCGAGUGGCGGACGGGUGAGGAAUACAUCGGAAUCUACUUUUUCGUGGGGGAUAACGUAGGUAAACUUACGCUAAUACCGCAUACGACCUACGGGUGAAAGCAGGGGAUCUUCGGACCUUGCGCGAUUGAAUGAGCCGAUGUCGGAUUAGCUAGUUGGCGGGGUAAAGGCCCACCAAGGCGACGAUCCGUAGCUGGUCUGAGAGGAUGAUCAGCCACACUGGAACUGAGACACGGGCCAGAGUCCUACGGGAGGCAGCAGUGGGGAAUAGUGGACAAUGGGCGCAAGCCUGAUCCAGCCAUACCGCGUGGGUGAAGAAGGCCUUCGGGUUGUAAAGCCCUUUUGUUGGGAAAGAAAAGCAGCAGGUUAAUACCCCGCUGUUCUGACGGUACCCAAAGAAUAAGCACCGGCUAACUACGUG